Molecule: ribosomal RNA, 271 nt
Filed under: uncultured prokaryote
Description: partial 16S ribosomal RNA
Rfam family: Bacterial small subunit ribosomal RNA
Source: RNAcentral
UACGGAGGUGGCAAGCGUUGUUCGGAAUUACUGGGCGUAAAGGGCGCGUAGGCGGCUUGGCAAGUCAGAUGUGAAAGCCCCGGGCUUAACUCGGGAAUUGCAUCUGAAACUGCUUUGCUUGAGUCCUGGAGGGGGUAGUGGAAUUCCCAGUGUAAGCGGUGAAAUGCGUAGAUAUUGGGAGGAACACCUGCGGCGAAGGCGGCUACCUGGACAGUGACUGACGCUGAGGCGCGAAAAGCUAGGGGAGCGAACGGGAUUAGAUACCCCUGUA